UACGUAGGGACCUAGCGUUGUCCGGAAUCAUUGGGCGUAAAGCGCGCGUAGGCGGCCCGGUAAGUCCGUUGUAAAAGUCGAAGGCUCAACCUUCGAAAGCCGAUGGAUACUGCCGGGCUAGAGUACGGAAGAGGCGAGUAGAAUUCCUGGUGUAGCGGUGGAAUGCGCAGAUAUCAGGAGGAACACCAAUGGCGAAGGCAGCUCGCUGGGACGGUACUGACGCUGAGACGCGAAAGCGUGGGGAGCGAACAGG
This 253-nucleotide ribosomal RNA is filed under the name uncultured bacterium. Its description in RNAcentral is "partial 16S ribosomal RNA". It matches the Rfam family "Bacterial small subunit ribosomal RNA", at positions 524 to 776 of the family's 1533-position model. The record is from RNAcentral.